AUCUCAUCGGAAACCCCGAUAGCUUUGCUAGUCAGCACGGGUUUAGAUUCGUGGCAUAUAGCUCAGUAACACGUGGCCAAACUACCCUACAGACCGCGAUAACCUCGGGAAACUGAGGCCAAUAGCGGAUAUCACUCUCACGCUGGAGUGCCGAGAGUGAGAAACGUUCCGGCGCUGUAGGAUGUGGCUGCGGCCGAUUAGGUAGAUGGUGGGGUAACGGCCCACCAUGCCGAUAAUCGGUACAGGUUGUGAGAGCAAGAACCUGGAGACGGUAUCUGAGACAAGAUACCGGGCCCUACGGGGCGCAGCAGGCGCGAAACCUUUACACUGCACGACAGUGCGAUAGGGGGACUCCGAGUGUGAGGGCAUAUAGCCCUCGCUUUUCUGUACCGUAAGGUGGUACAGGAACAAGGACUGGGCAAGACCGGUGCCAGCCGCCGCGGUAAUACCGGCAGUCCAAGUGAUGGCCGAUAUUAUUGGGCCUAAAGCGUCCGUAGCUUGCUGUGUAAGUCCAUUGGGAAAUCGACCAGCUCAACUGGUCGGCGUCCGGUGGAAACUGCCCAGCUUGGGGCCGAAAGACUCAACGGGUACGUCCGGGGUAGGAGUGAAAUCCUGUAAUCCUGGACGGACCACCAAUGGGGAAACCACGUCAAGAAACCGGACCCGACAGUGAGGGACGAAAGCCAGGGUCUCGAACCGGAUUAGAUACCCGGGUAGUCCUGGCUGUAAACAAUGCUCGCUAGGUAUGUCGCGGCCAUGAGCACGUGAUGAGCCGUAGUGAAGCCGAUAAGCGAGCCGCCUGGGAAGUACGUCCGCAAGGAUGAAACUUAAGGGUUUUCGGGA
RNAcentral lists this ribosomal RNA (843 nucleotides) under haloarchaeon SC8. Its description in RNAcentral is "bacterial SSU rRNA". It matches the Rfam family "Archaeal small subunit ribosomal RNA", at positions 26 to 871 of the family's 1478-position model. Lineage: Archaea; Methanobacteriati; Methanobacteriota; Halobacteria; Halobacteriales; Halobacteriaceae. The record is from RNAcentral.